CCUACGGGUGGCUGCAGUGGGGAAUAUUGGACAAUGGGCGAAAGCCUGAUCCAGCCAUGCCGCGUGUGUGAAGAAGGCCUUCGGGUUGUAAAGCACUUUCAGUGGGGAAGAAAGCCUUGGGGCUAAUACCCUCGAGGAAGGACAUCACCCACAGAAGAAGCACCGGCUAACUCCGUGCCAGCAGCCGCGGUAAUACGGAGGGUGCGAGCGUUAAUCGGAAUUACUGGGCGUAAAGCGCGCGUAGGCGGUCUGAUAAGCCGGUUGUGAAAGCCCCGGGCUCAACCUGGGAACGGCAUCCGGAACUGUCAGGCUAGAGUGCAGGAGAGGAAGGUAGAAUUCCCGGUGUAGCGGUGAAAUGCGUAGAGAUCGAGAGGAAUACCAGUGGCGAAGGCGGCCUUCUGGACUGACACUGACGCUGAUGUGCGAAAGCGUGGGUAGCAAACAGGAUUAGAUACCCCGGUAGUC
RNAcentral lists this ribosomal RNA (465 nucleotides) under Vreelandella stevensii. Its description in RNAcentral is "partial 16S ribosomal RNA". It matches the Rfam family "Bacterial small subunit ribosomal RNA", at positions 338 to 795 of the family's 1533-position model. Lineage: Bacteria; Pseudomonadati; Pseudomonadota; Gammaproteobacteria; Oceanospirillales; Halomonadaceae. The record is from RNAcentral.